Molecule: unclassified non-coding RNA, 3849 nt
Filed under: Leishmania donovani
Lineage: Eukaryota; Euglenozoa; Kinetoplastea; Trypanosomatida; Trypanosomatidae
Description: gene:unknown
Source: RNAcentral
GAUGACACGUUAACCUCCUCCGUCCAAGCAACAUGAAACUGGCAGCCGGCCGCCCCCCUCCCCCUCCUCAAACAGUUUUGUCGUGCCGGCUUUCUGCCCUCUCCCUUUUUUUAGCGCGUUCUGGCCCACACAGCAGAAGGAUGCAUGCACGCCUUUAUGCGCACGAAUGCGUUUUUUUUCCCCGUCAUAUCCCAUUGUUCGCGUUGCGGUGCUCGCCUCUCUUCUUGCGAUCUCCCUCUCACGACAGGCGCGCCUUUUUCUUUCUUUGGGUUUCGAUUUCGUUCCUCGUACACAUAUCUAUGCAUAUUUCUUGUGUUGCCUCCCUCUCUCUCUUUCUCGCUCUCUUCGUUUCCACCUGCAUUGUCCAUAGAGAAGGAGACUGGCGCAAGUGUACGAGCACGUGUGUUUGCGCAUGUUUGUAUGCAUCUGUCUGUGUGCGUGCGCACACGUUUUUUUUUCUUUGGCGCUCGCCGCCACGUCGAAAGGCUCGCCCGUCUUAUGGCGCACACUCCCCACUCACCAUAAAAAGGCACAUGCAUGUGUAUAGCAACGAAGCGCGGGGCAUCGGAAAGGAAGGCGAGACACGGGCCAAACAGAAGGGACCUCUGAAAAGACAUGCGGAGAGGUAGAGAGAUGCAGAAACAGCAAGAAACAUCCGAAAGGCGCGCCUUUAGCUGUUUUGUUCCAACUGUCCCCUUCUCUUGUGCGCCACAUACGCAUACACACACAAACACAAACACAGAGUAAGGCAGAUGCUUCACUAGAAGAAGCUCCAAUACGCUGGAAGCAGCGCAGACGCCGAGUCUCAGCCACGCAAGAACGGGACACAUGCACACACACACACACACGCCCACAAAAGGAGGAAAAAGCAUCAGCGAUAGUAGGCUGGUCAUCGUUACGACUAAUUUCGUUUUUGCUUUUAUUGUGUGUGUGCCCGUCAUUGUCUCCUCCCUGCUUUCCACCCCUCGGAUCUCCUCCCAGGUGUUGACAACCUUCACUGGCUCUAAUCGACUGCUUGCUUGCCACCCCCCAGAGACUGUUUUUCUCUUACUCACUUUCUCUUUGGCCUUGCCUACUCACAAGGGUAGUGUGAUCUCGUCCUCUUUCCUCGUUCCUUAAUGCGUUGUUGUGCUUCCUUCUCUCGCCAUUCCCCAUGCUGUAUGCUGCCUUGCACGAUCUUCUUGUUUGGUCCUGUUUUGUUGUUUUGAUGGGUGUGUUCUCGUGGCCCCAUCUUGAGCCAUUACAGGACAGAAAGAGGCGUAUGUACUAGUACAGGCCAGUAAUUUUUUUUUGUUUUGGCAUCGGUGUAUUAGUGAUGGUACUGGUGAGUCUCGCACUCUCUUUACCCUCCUUGCUUUUCAUCAUUCCCUCUCUGUAUGGCACUCACAGAUGGGGUGGGGUGGGGCUCAUGACGCUCCUUCAUAAACGUCUUUGUUGCGCUUCUUCUCACCUCCUUAUAAUCUUCGCUGCUGGCUCAUCUACUUCGAGAGUAGCUUCUUCCCUUCCUCCCUCUAUCUGUGUGUUAUCACAUUUUUUUUUCUUUAUUCGUUCUAGCGUGCGCAUCGGUCCGUGUACGUGGCUCUCUCUCCAUUCUUUCAAGCCUUUCUUUUCCGUGCAUCUCUUCGAGUGCAAUGCCCCCCGCCCCCACACCUUUCUUUGUUCGCUCUCAGCGGCUGCGGCAUUUCUCUUUAUCGUGCCUCUUCUCUGCGCCCGCCCCCCUCCACCAUCUCACCUUUCUCUCUUUUUCCCCGUUCUAUGUUUAACUGCGUACUUGUGUAGUGUGUGUGUGUGCUGCGAUCUGAUGCUUAUGCCUUUGACUUUCUCUUUGGUUUCCGAAACGCCCUUCACCUCUUCUCCACUUCCUUGCAGAAACGCUAAGCGCCGGCAGCAAGUGCCGCCGCUUCUUCCAGUGGUGUUAGGGCUGUCUCUGCGACGUGCCAAAGGGAAAAAAAACAAAAAGCGUACACGCACAUGCAUGCAAACAUACAAGCCGAAAGGAACCGCCAACAGAACCGAAACAACAACCAAAAAAAAUUGAAAUGAAAGCCGCUGCUCUUGUUGCUCUUGUUGUUUCCCUGCUCCUUCAGCUUUUUCCAUGUAUUCGCACCCUCUUCUAUCCCCACGGUUAUGGCGAGGGUGCGCUUGACAGAUUUUCUUUCCUUGCAUAUUUCGUGCACGCUAUCUGUGUGAGCGCGCGUGUUGUCGUGCUUGUGCGCGUACAUCGCUCUUUUACAGCGAAGGUGGUCUUCAAGGGUACCGCUGAUGGUUGGUGCUGCCGAGUGAUCCGCCCACGUCUCCUGUCCGGUGGGUAACGCGCAGCAUAUGCUUUCUUUCGCUUUCCUGUGCGCUGUUUCUCCGCCUCUCCCCCUGCCUGGCUGCUUUGCUUUUCCCGAUGCUGGAUGUAGUGGUCACCCUUGCCCUUUCCAUGGCCAUACCGCUUUCUUCACCCCUUGUGCUCUCGCUCGGCGCUCUUCUCUUCAUCUUUAUCCGCGUCUGUGAUGGCUCGAUACCAAGCAGUCCGCCUGUGCCCUCAAAUGCAUCCUUGCGUGCUCGCACCAAACAAAGGGUGUGUGCACGCUAUCUGGUGUUCUUUCACUUGCGCGCGCAUGUGGUGUCCUUCUCCUCUUCCUCGACACUUUUUUCUUUGUGUUUCUCUGGCGCCUUUUAUCCAUUGCUGAGGCGCUUGUGUGCUUGUCUAUGGACGCAUAUGCCAUCGUGUGCAUGUGCCUGUCACAUAUUGCUGCUUUUAGUCUUGCUCGGCUCCUCUCUACCUUCUUCCUGAUUGCCCUGGCUUGUGCGUGGUGCUUGUUCGUCUUACUCUCUCUCUCUUCUCUGCAUGCGUGCAGCUUCGUCUAGGUCAGUGUCUGUCCUCCUCCGCCCUUCGCCUCGACCUCACACGCCCCUCCCCCGCCUUCCGUUGUCUGCUUUGAGGGCCUGAUGUUCUCAUUUUCUAUUGCGCUCGUCGUCUGUGCCUGUGCGUGUCCGUGUGUGUCGACUUCCUCGGUGACUUCUGCGUUUUCGCUCUCGCUUUUCUGUUUCUCCCUUUUCCUCUCUCUCGAAUUUUUUGUUGUACGGCCAUAGACAUGAUGCCCCUCCUCACGCCCUCCCGUCCUUUUCUGGCAGCCGCCAGGCACGUCUCCCCGCUGGCACACAUACACACGCGCGCACACACACACAAAUUGAGCGAACCGACCUAGCAGAAUACAUACGCAUACAUGCAUCUCUCUCUCUCUGUUCAUAUACAACGAAUGCAUCAGACAUGGUGUGGUAACGAACACUUGAGGGCCGCAGCCAUACGAAAAGAAUCAAGGUGUGGGAAGGUGGUGCGGGCAGUUGUGGCGGAGGGCAAGAGGACAGCCUACCGAGAUGCCUCUAGAAGCACCUCUUCUCCCCACACCCCCUCUCCCGCCCCACGCCUUUGUGUGACAGCAGCGACGGCAAAGGGAAUCAAGGGCAUUAGCAGGUUACGGGAUGCGCGCGCGGACGCCACAGAGCACACGCGAGCAUGAGUGUGGUUGUGUGGUGGCCACGCGAAAGAAUCGCGCCGUGUGUACACGGCCCGGACGACACAGCAACGAUUACCACCAGUCCGGCGAUACUGGCCUAAAGGACGCACCAAGAGGCUCGUGCGGUGAGUUGUGCAAUAUGCUGGCACAAAAAGUGGUUUCUUCAUGUGCGCGCCCACAAAUAUGUGUCUCUUGAUGCUUCGAAGUGGCUUCCGUUUUCGUGGAGGCGUCGGUGGCAUCGUCGCCUCUCCUUCAUAUCUCGCUCUCUGCAAUCACCUCUUCUCUGUUUCCACUUCUAUUUCCUUUCUUCGACACCCACCGCAUUCCCAAACCUUUCCGGUAG